GCGAGAGUGGCGGAAUUGGCAGACGCACCAGAUUUAGGUUCUGGCGGGGAGACCCGUGGGGGUUCGAGUCCCCCCUCUCGCA
This 82-nucleotide transfer RNA is filed under the name Phycisphaerae bacterium. RNAcentral's name for it is "tRNA-Leu". It matches the Rfam family "tRNA". From Rfam's summary of the family: Transfer RNA (tRNA) molecules are approximately 80 nucleotides in length. Their secondary structure includes four short double-helical elements and three loops (D, anti-codon, and T loops). The record is from RNAcentral. Lineage: Bacteria; Pseudomonadati; Planctomycetota; Phycisphaerae.